AGAGUUUGAUCAUGGCUCAGGAUGAACGCUAGCUACAGGCUUAACACAUGCAAGUCGAGGGGCAGCAUGUUGGUUGCUUGCAACCAACGAUGGCGACCGGCGCACGGGUGAGUAACGCGUAUCCAACCUACCCUUGUCCAUCGGAUAACCCGUCGAAAGGCGGCCUAACACGAUAUGCGGUUCACAGCAGGCAUCUAACGUGAACGAAAUGUGAAGGAGAAGGAUGGGGAUGCGUCUGAUUAGCUUGUUGGCGGGGUAACGGCCACCAAGGCUAACGAUCAGUAGGGUUCUGAGAGGACGGUCCCCANAUUGGAACUGAGACACGGUCCAAACUCCUACGGGAGGCA
This 347-nucleotide ribosomal RNA is filed under the name uncultured bacterium. Its description in RNAcentral is "bacterial SSU rRNA". It matches the Rfam family "Bacterial small subunit ribosomal RNA", at positions 8 to 350 of the family's 1533-position model. The record is from RNAcentral.